CCCAUUCCUAGAAGUGAUGUUAAAAACCGACAAAACAAAAACAAACCAUUUCUUAACCAAGGACAGAAAUUUUAAAACGAAAGAACACACUGUCUGA
Molecule: non-coding RNA, 97 nt
Organism: Vicugna pacos (alpaca)
Lineage: Eukaryota; Metazoa; Chordata; Mammalia; Artiodactyla; Camelidae
Source: RefSeq, a predicted model, not a curated record